This 264-nucleotide ribosomal RNA is filed under the name uncultured bacterium. RNAcentral describes it as "partial 16S ribosomal RNA". It matches the Rfam family "Bacterial small subunit ribosomal RNA", at positions 524 to 777 of the family's 1533-position model. The record is from RNAcentral.
CACGGUAGGGCGCAAGCGUUGUCCGGAAUUAUUGGGCGUAAGAGCGCGUAGGCGGCGUAACAAGUCAACUUGUGAAAUCUCCGGGCUUAACCCGGAGCGGCCAAGUGAUACUGUUGUGGCUAGAGUGCGGAAGGGGCAACUGGAAAUUCUCGGUGUAGCGGUGAAAUGCGUAGAUAUCGAGAGGAACACCUGCGGCGAAGGCGGGUUGCUGGGCUGAUAACUGACGCUGGAGGCGCGGAAAAGCCCAGGGGAGGCGAAACGGGG